Molecule: transfer RNA, 66 nt
Filed under: Orussus occidentalis
Lineage: Eukaryota; Metazoa; Arthropoda; Insecta; Hymenoptera; Orussidae
Description: tRNA-Asp
Source: RNAcentral
UAAGAAUUAGUUAAAUAUAACAUAAAAUUGUCAAUUUUAAAUUAUUACUAAAUAUAAUAUUCUUUU